CAAGUCUCAACUUGUUCACUGCUACUCCUCACUAACCCCCAUUCUCUUUUCUGCUCCGGCGAUUUCAAUGGCCGCCGCCGCUCUUUCUUUGCUUAACAACGGAGAGUUAGCUUCUUCCGUUAAGUCUCCGGGUACCGGACGAUAUGCUGCCGUUUACAGUGAAGUUCAAAACAGUCGUUUAGAUCACCCUCUUCCUCUUCCUUCUGUUCUCGGAAGCCCUUUCAAAGUCGUUGAUGGUCCUCCUUCAUCUGCCGCCGGUCAUCCAGAGGAGAUUGCAAAGCUUUUUCCUUCCUUAUACGGACAACCAUCUGUUUCAUUGGUGCCUGAUGAUUCUGGGGAUGUUGCGAUGAAUCAAAUCUUGAAAAUAGGAGUGGUGUUAUCUGGAGGCCAAGCUCCCGGAGGACAUAAUGUUAUUUCUGGAAUUUUUGAUUAUUUGCAGACUCAUUGCAAGGGAAGCACAAUGUAUGGAUUCAGGGGUGGACCAGCUGGAGUCAUGAAGGGAAAGUAUGUGGGGUUGACCCCGGAGUUCAUUUACCCAUACAGAAAUCAGGGUGGAUUUGAUAUGAUUUGCAGUGGUAGGGACAAGAUUGAGACUCCAGAGCAGUUUAAGCAAGCUGAAGAGACAGCAAAGAAGCUCGAUCUAGAUGGUCUUGUCGUAAUUGGUGGAGAUGACUCCAAUACAAAUGCUUGUCUUCUUGCUGAGAACUUCAGAAGUAAAAAUUUGAAAACUCGGGUUAUUGGAUGCCCGAAAACCAUAGAUGGUGACUUAAAAUCGAAAGAGGUUCCCACAAGUUUUGGCUUUGAUACGGCAUGCAAGAUAUAUGCAGAAAUGAUUGGGAAUGUGAUGGUAGAUGCUCGAUCAACAGGAAAAUACUAUCAUUUUGUGCGGCUCAUGGGGCGUGCUGCUUCACACAUUACUCUAGAGUGUGCUCUGCAAACUCAUCCAAACGUUACUUUGAUUGGAGAAGAGGUAUUUGCAAAGAAACUGACUCUUAAGAAUGUUACGGAUUACAUUGCUGAUGUGGUCUGCAAGCGCGCAGAGUCAGGUUACAAUUAUGGAGUUAUUCUCAUUCCCGAAGGACUUAUAGAUUUCAUUCCUGAGGUUCAGCAACUCAUUGCGGAACUAAAUGAAAUAUUGGCACAUGAUGUCGUAGAUGAAGCUGGUGUUUGGAAAAAGAAACUUACUCCCCAGUGCCUUGAGCUCUUUGAGUUGUUGCCCCUAGCUAUUCAGGAACAACUGCUUCUUGAGAGAGAUCCACACGGCAAUGUCCAGGUUGCGAAAAUUGAAACUGAG
This 1294-nucleotide unclassified non-coding RNA is filed under the name Hevea brasiliensis (rubber tree). Lineage: Eukaryota; Viridiplantae; Streptophyta; Magnoliopsida; Malpighiales; Euphorbiaceae. The record is from RNAcentral.